This 1223-nucleotide long non-coding RNA is filed under the name Olea europaea subsp. europaea. The record is from RNAcentral. Lineage: Eukaryota; Viridiplantae; Streptophyta; Magnoliopsida; Lamiales; Oleaceae.
CUACGUUUUUCCACUCUCUUUGCCUCCAAUAUGUUUUCCCCCAAAAUUGUCAUUCCCCCUCAAACCUAAUUCCACCUCUUCAAUUGAGGCAGAAAGAUUUAGCAGAAAUACAUUGUUAAGCAAAUUUUGCGAGAUACUCGGCUUGAAGAUCCAGAAACGAGAUUUUCUUCCGCUUCGGAGUCUGUUGAAACGCCCUUCGAAUCGAACACUUCCUUGUUCACUGCAGGUACUUGUAUUCCUAAUUUGUUUGUUAAUGCUUGUGCAAAUUAUUUCGUUUUUUAAUUUUUAACUUCAAUUGGCCUUUGGAAUGAAUAUUCGGGCAAUUAUUUUACUGCUCUAGUUUCAUUUUCGCCUGUGAUGGUAAUCAAUCAUGUGGGUUUCAAUUUCAUUGACUGAAGAAUACAAUUGGGAAAAAAAAAAAAAACUAUCUUUCUAAUUUCCCCAAAAUUUAGAACGAUUUGAUCAAAUCCUAGAGAAUAUGAUAUCCGUGUUGUUUAACUAUGUGGGGGCUGCUUCUGGUGCUGUUCUUCUUUUGGCAUUUAAUGGCACAUUUGGUACUCGCUAAUAGAUGGGAGGGAAGAGUAUUAAAGAAUCUAAAAUAUUUUGGCACAUGCGGUGCAGUGAAUGGUUUGUUUAUAAAUUUUUCAGUUUUUUCCUCUUCCUUGGCUUCUUGGCCUUUAUUUUGUUACAAAUGGUUUUUAUUUUUCUAGAUGCUAGUUGUGGUUUUUUCUAGCUGUGUCAUAUGCUGUUUUGUAUUGGUGUAUUCUUGUGUUUCAUUACCUGUGUGGACACUUGAAGAAAUGACUGUUAGUUUCUGCAAAUUUUCCAAAAACUUGUUUUUCUUAUAGUUCAUUUUCCUGCCUUCUAUAAAGAAAUUGAUAGCAGUGAGGAAAGAGGAUUAGAGUGUUCUUUAUGUAUAUGCGGGCAAACCUGUGAAGUAAUGUUGGAUUAGUUUGUAGUUGAUAGGAAACUUUAGUCGUAUUUUCUUCAUGUACUAUGCCACUUGAAGGCUUGAACUCCAUAUUUCUUGUCACAACUUACAGAAAAUUGGAAUUCGCCACGUCCAUCUCCUGUAGUUGAGGCCUUCAGUGACUAGUAUGAUUUAUAUAUUCCCAUACUCAUGUCCAGUGUGUGAGUCCUGAGUACUGUUGAAAGCUGUGCUCCUCUUAAUUGGAGCCAUUUACCUAUGGCAAGGAGAGCAGGUGGGGUGGUUUAAUCGUCAU